RNAcentral lists this long non-coding RNA (465 nucleotides) under Anser brachyrhynchus (Pink-footed goose). RNAcentral describes it as "lncRNA (ENSABRG00000011848.1)". Lineage: Eukaryota; Metazoa; Chordata; Aves; Anseriformes; Anatidae. The record is from RNAcentral.
CUCCAAGCUUGUUGUUAGGUGCUGCAGUUUUGUGAAAGUCCUACAUCAAACAAGGAUACUGAUUUGACCGACUGGCACUGAGUAGAAAGUUCAGCUCCUUUAAUUCCUAGAAGGUUACUCUAGCUCAGUGCCUAUCAGGUUGCUGUUGCCUAGGAUUUUACAGCUGUACUUAGAGAAGAUAAUCUGUGAUCAGUCCAUCUCAUCUGUAUGAUCACAGGUGCACUAUAUGUGCUCUUCUGACUACAGGCACCUCACAGGCGCUCCAGAUAGCACAUAGCAGUCAACCAAAUGGGAAGUUUAGGACUGAGAGCAGAUUGCUGUGGGGCACGGGAGGAAGUUUUCCCCCCAGGUUGAUGAAAGGCCCACCCCCAGCUCCUGCUGGCAUGCUAUAAUGCUCCUGGAAAGGAGAGCAGAGAAGAUCAAAAGCAAAAUACUACCAAAGAGCAAAACCUAUAAAGAUUCCUC